CCUACGGGGGGCAGCAGUGGGGAAUAUUGGGCAAUGGAGGAAACUCUGACCCAGCGACGCCGCGUGAGGGAUGAAGGCCUUCGGGUUGUAAACCUCUUUCAGCAGGGAAUAAGCGAAAGUGAAGGUACCUGCAGAAGAAGCACCGGCUAACUAUGUGCCAGCAGCCGCGGUAAUACAUAGGGUGCAAGCGUUGUCCGGAAUUAUUGGGCGUAAAGAGCUCGUAGGUGGUCGAUCACGUCGGAUGUGAAAAUCUGAGGCUUAACCUCAGACCUGCAUUCGA
RNAcentral lists this ribosomal RNA (280 nucleotides) under uncultured bacterium. Its description in RNAcentral is "partial 16S ribosomal RNA". It matches the Rfam family "Bacterial small subunit ribosomal RNA", at positions 338 to 630 of the family's 1533-position model. The record is from RNAcentral.